Molecule: ribosomal RNA, 492 nt
Filed under: uncultured bacterium
Lineage: Bacteria
Description: partial 16S ribosomal RNA
Rfam family: Bacterial small subunit ribosomal RNA
Source: RNAcentral
AGUGAACGCUGGCGGUAGGCCUAACACAUGCAAGUCGAACGGCAGCACAGUAAGAGCUUGCUCUUACGGGUGGCGAGUGGCGGACGGGUGAGGAAUACAUCGGAAUCUACUUUUUCGUGGGGGAUAACGUAGGGAAACUUACGCUAUUACCGCAUACGACCUACGGGUGAAAGCAGGGGAUCUUCGGCCCUUGCGCGAUUGAAUGAGCCGAUGUCGGAUUAGCUAGUUGGCGGGGUAAAGGCCCACCAAGGCGACGAUCCGUAGCUGGUCUGAGAGGAUGAUCAGCCACACUGGAACUGAGACACGGUCCAGACUCCUACGGGAGGCAGCAGUGGGGAAUAUUGGACAAUGGGCGCAAGCCUGAUCCAGCCAUACCGCGUGGGUGAAGAAGGCCUUCGGGUUGUAAAGCCCUUUUGUUGGGAAAGAAAGGCAGCAGGUUAAUACCCCGCUGUUCUGACGGUACCCAAAGAAUAAGCACCGGCUAACUUCGUG